This 615-nucleotide long non-coding RNA is filed under the name Homo sapiens (human). Its description in RNAcentral is "growth arrest specific 5, transcript variant 18 (GAS5)". Lineage: Eukaryota; Metazoa; Chordata; Mammalia; Primates; Hominidae. The record is from RNAcentral.
CUUUUCGAGGUAGGAGUCGACUCCUGUGAGGUAUGGUGCUGGGUGCAGAUGCAGUGUGGCUCUGGAUAGCACCUUAUGGACAGUUGUGUCCCCAAGGAAGGAUGAGAAUAGCUACUGAAGUCCUAAAGAGCAAGCCUAACUCAAGCCAUUGGCACACAGGCAUUAGACAGAAAGCUGGAAGUUGAAAUGGUGGAGUCCAACUUGCCUGGACCAGCUUAAUGGUUCUGCUCCUGGUAACGUUUUUAUCCAUGGAUGACUUGCUUGGGUAAGGACAUGAAGACAGUUCCUGUCAUACCUUUUAAAGGUAUGGAGAGUCGGCUUGACUACACUGUGUGGAGCAAGUUUUAAAGAAGCAAAGGACUCAGAAUUCAUGAUUGAAGAAAUGCAGGGUUUUUAAUGACCACAACAAGCAAGCAUGCAGCUUACUGCUUGAAAGACAGGGUCUUGCCUCACCCAAGCUAGAGUGCAGUGGCCUUUGAAGCUUACUACAGCCUCAAACUUCUGGGCUCAAGUGAUCCUCAGCCUCCCAGUGGUCUUUGUAGACUGCCUGAUGGAGUCUCAUGGCACAAGAAGAUUAAAACAGUGUCUCCAAUUUUAAUAAAUUUUUGCAAUCCA